UACGUAGGGUGCAAGCGUUGUCCGGAAUUAUUGGGCGUAAAGAGCUCGUAGGCGGUCAGUCGCGUCUGCUGUGAAAACUCGGGGCUUAACCCCGGGCCUGCAGUGGGUACGGGCUGACUAGAGUGCGGUAGGGGAGACUGGAAUUCCUGGUGUAGCGGUGAAAUGCGCAGACAUCAGGAGGAACACCGGUGGCGAAGGCGGGUCUCUGGGCCGUAACUGACGCUGAGGAGCGAAAGCGUGGGGAGCGAACAGG
RNAcentral lists this ribosomal RNA (253 nucleotides) under uncultured bacterium. RNAcentral describes it as "partial 16S ribosomal RNA". It matches the Rfam family "Bacterial small subunit ribosomal RNA", at positions 524 to 776 of the family's 1533-position model. The record is from RNAcentral.